GACGAACGCUGGCGGCGUGCCUAAUACAUGCAAGUCGAACGAGAGCGACCGGUGCUUGCACUGGUCAAUCUAGUGGCGAACGGGUGAGUAACACGUGGGUAACCUACCCAUCAGAGGGGGAUAACAUCCGGAAACGGAUGCUAAAACCGCAUAGGUCUUCGAGCCGCAUGGCUUGAAGAGGAAAAGAGGCGCAAGCUUCUGCUGAUGGAUGGACCCGCGGUGCAUUAGCUAGUUGGUGAGGUAACGGCUCACCAAGGCCGUGAUGCAUAGCCGACCUGAGAGGGUGAUCGGCCACAUUGGGACUGAGACACGGCCCAAACUCCUACGGGAGGCAGCAGUAGGGAAUCUUCCGCAAUGGACGCAAGUCUGACGGAGCAACGCCACGUGAGUGAAGAAGGUUUUCGGAUCGUAAAACUCUGUUGUUAGAGAAGAACAAGUGCUAGAGUAACUGUUAGCGCCUU
RNAcentral lists this ribosomal RNA (461 nucleotides) under Granulicatella adiacens. RNAcentral describes it as "bacterial SSU rRNA". It matches the Rfam family "Bacterial small subunit ribosomal RNA", at positions 28 to 478 of the family's 1533-position model. Lineage: Bacteria; Bacillati; Bacillota; Bacilli; Lactobacillales; Carnobacteriaceae. The record is from RNAcentral.